GAUGAACGCCGGCGGUGUGCCUAAUACAUGCAAGUCGAGCGCACUGGCCCAACUGAUAUGACGUGCUUGCACUGAAUUGACGUUGGAUUCCCAGUGAGCGGCGGACGGGUGAGUAACACGUGGGCAACCUGCCCUGAAGCGGGGGAUAACAUCUGGAAACAGGUGCUAAUACCGCAUAACAACGAAAACCACAUGGUUUUCGUUUCAAAGAUGGUUUCGGCUAUCACUUCAGGAUGGGCCCGCGGUGCAUUAGCUAGUUGGUAAGGUAACGGCUUACCAAGGCGAUGAUGCAUAGCCGAGUUGAGAGACUGAUCGGCCAUAUGGAAGAGACACGGUCCAUACUCCUACGGGAGGCAGCAGUAGAUCUUUCAAUGGGCGCAAGCCUGAUGGAGCAACACCGCGUGAGUGAAGAAGGGUUUC
RNAcentral lists this ribosomal RNA (420 nucleotides) under Limosilactobacillus vaginalis. RNAcentral's name for it is "bacterial SSU rRNA". It matches the Rfam family "Bacterial small subunit ribosomal RNA", at positions 28 to 419 of the family's 1533-position model. Lineage: Bacteria; Bacillati; Bacillota; Bacilli; Lactobacillales; Lactobacillaceae. The record is from RNAcentral.